AUCAGACCUCUAAUCGGAAAA
This 21-nucleotide ribosomal RNA is filed under the name Sciuro-hypnum uncinifolium. RNAcentral's name for it is "partial 25S ribosomal RNA". The record is from RNAcentral. Lineage: Eukaryota; Viridiplantae; Streptophyta; Bryopsida; Hypnales; Brachytheciaceae.